AGGAGAAAGAGGAGGAGGAGGAGGAGGAGAAGAAUCUAACUCUUAAAAACCAAAAGGUAUUGGAAUGCUGUCUCUAGGACCUCUCUCAUAUGGUGGUCUCUGAGCUUACUCUAAGAAUGGCUGCUGCAUGAAUAAGUCGGGAACCGCAUGGCCUCUCGUGGGGAUUUAAGGAAGAUAGAUGGUACGAGAUGUUGUCUCCUCCGCAGACGCUUUCUGCUCUGGAGUUUCCUUGACCAGAGUGUUUCUUCACAGCAACAGAACAAUGACCAAGACACCUAAUUAGUGAGCUCUAGACCAAUGAAAGGCCUUGUUUCAAAAAACAGGGUGGUGAGCCAGCAAGAUGGCUCAGCAGAUAGAGGUGCCCGCUUGCAAGCUUGCUGACCUGAGUUCGAUCCCCAGGACCCACACGGUGGAAGGAGAGAACGGACUCCUGCAAGCUGUCCUCUGACCACAAGACACAAGCCAUGGCACUUGAGCACCCCCCCACAAUAACUAAAUAAAGAGAUAGAUGCAAUAUUGUUUAAGAAAAGAUUUUAAUAAGCCAGGAUGGACAGUUUCUGAGCAAAGACACAUCCAAGGCUGAGCCCUAGCCUAAACACACAGACACAGACACACACACAGACACACACACAGACACAGACACACACACACACACGUGGGUGCUCACUCAUGCACACACAUGCACACACAGUGUCUUCCUAAUACCUGCCCACUUCAAGCCUAAACCUUGAACUUGCCAUUCCAGGCCUUUCCUGGCCCAGCACCACCACACUCACCACCAUCACUGACACUACAGCAUCUGAGCCUGCCAUUUAACGCUCUCCCUACCUUCAUCUCCUCAUCCUUGCAGCAGGGAUGGCAGAGGUGGCACUCGCUGUUACAGAUGGGCCUUUCUCAGUCUCAAUGCUGACCCCAUGUUCUCUCCCUGUGGGAUAAUGGCAGCAUUCCCUCCUAAACUCUGCACUUUGGUUACUGCCUGAACUAUAAAUGCUCACAGCUAGAUCAUAAAACGCCACACACUUUUGUUCGACUCCUUAAGGGCCCCUCUCUGGAAUCCAUGACCAAACCCAAAGAAAGCCCAUCACAGAUGUCCUGUGCAGUCGGUGCCAACCUGCCCACCAUGGGAACGCACCAUGUUGACAAAGGUCUCCAGGGGAUACCCCACGGAGCUGAAUGGAACCUGCCAAGGCCUUGAGCAUAGUCAAUUCUCAGGCCCAUCUUCAGAUGUGACAGUUGGGAGGCUUGCCACUCAGCCAAAGAUAGUUGAGAUGCCAGUCCCAUAGAGUGAAGAAAUGAAGUGAGCCAGUUUGUCAUGACAAUGGACCACACAGUGGCUUCAACCAGACAUUUGUGUCCCAGUAUCCUGGAGGCUGCGGGUCUGAGAUGAGAGGGUCAGUGUAGACAGUUCCUUCCGAGACCUCUCCCCAUGGCUGGGACUAUGUCCUUCUCCCAGCUCUCCCACAGUCCCCUUCUGGAUGUGUCCUUACCUCCUUUUCAUAUUAAGACAGUGAUAUUGGAUCAGGCACCACCCCAAUGGCCUUAUUUUAAAGUCACUCCUACUUUAAAGAUACGAGUGCGGUUACAGUCCCAUCCUGAGAAAUUGGAGUCCAGAUGUCCGCACACAAGUUGCAGCAGGGGAUAGUUUAGCUGGUAACACAGACAGCUUACGGAACACUGAACAGUCCCUGCUUAUGGAAAGUCCUCAGUCAAUGUCGGCCAACGUCCCCAUGCUCACUGCCACCCCCACUGACCUCAUGUUCCCCACUGCAGCUCUGGGGGACUGUCUGAGGCCCCCAGGCCGCCUUUCAGCCUGUGCCUUCUGCCUGAGGUGCCGCUCUUGGUCUCCAUUCACCCCAGUCCUUCCCGUCUUGGGAGGCCAGCCCUCCUCCUCCCUGGGCUAAAGGGCUCCGGCCUGUGUCUGCGCCCCUGUCUGCGCCCCUGUCUGCACCCCUGUCUGAGAGCCCUCCAGCCUAAUGGGGAUGGGAAGAUUUGGCACUGUAGCUUUCAAUCUCAGUUUUUGUUUUGUUUUACAAUAUAGACAUCGGGUGCAUUUUCCUUUCUGGUUAUAAAAAUGCUGUGUUCUCAGUUUGUAAAACCUGUACAGCACACUUUCUUUUAAAAAGAAAGCCAAAAAUCAUCUUAAACUAAUAUACUGAGUUUUGUUUUGUUUUUGAGACAGGUUUCAUGUAGCUCAGGCUGGUCUGGAUGAACUUGAAUCCUGCCCCCACUUUUCAGGUAUUGGGAUUUCAGGCAGGCAGCUUCACUCCUUGUUUUAGGGGUGCCUGGGAUCAAACCCAGGACUUCAUGUCCCUUAGGUAGGCAGUUUACCAACUGAGCUAUAUCCCCAGCCAUGGUGGAUGAGUUUUAAUGUCAUAGCUUAUGUCUCUCCGGAAUCGUUCAUAGGUGUGAAAUGCAGUAUGUGUAUGAUGCUCUUUCCCUUGAUCCCAGGGUAACAGACUGUAGUUCACACCCCAGACUUAACUGCCCAGCUCCAAGUAGAGAGGAACUGUAUUAAACAUAUAUGUUCACUUACAGUGUGCAUCCUGAAAGCACACGCAUUUUAGAAGCAAAAAACUAUGACAUGGUCGAGGAGGCGGCACAGGAAGUAAAAGCACUUGUUGGGGAAUGUGUGCACUGUGUGAAGAUGUGUCACUGUGACUGGUGUAAUAAAGAGCUGAAUGGCCAAUGGCUAGGCAGGCGGUGUAGGCGGAACUUCGGGGCAGAGAGAGAGGCAGUAGGAGAUAAAUCUAGUGCGUGUCAGACGCCAAUGAGAGGUGGCGGGAGUCAGACAUACAAAGUGAAAGAAAAGUGAAAAUCCACAAACAAAACAUAGAUUAAUAUAAAUGGGUUAAUUUAAUUUAUAAGAGCUAGUGAGACAAGUCUAAGCUAAGGCCAAGCUUUCAUGAUUAAUAAGUCUCUGUGUAGUUAUUUGGGAGCUGGCUAGUGAGACAGAAAAAGACUCGUUACAAGCACUGGCUACCUGAACCUGAGCCCCAAGUUCAACCCCAGAACUCAUGGGAAAAUCCAGAUGCUGCAGCAGGCAUCUGUAAUCCCAGAGCUCCUAUGUGGGAUAGACAGCAGAGACAACAGAAUCAGCUGGAAUCGCUAAGGUCAGCCAAGCCUCGAGUACUCGGUACAGCAGCAGAAGUGAGAGACCCUGCCUCAACCGGGUGGGGGCACCAACUUCUAAACACUGCCAUCUGACUUCCACACAUGUGUGUGCACACCCACACUCACACAGAUAGCACCCACAAAAGCAAGGAGGAGAGGAGAGAAGGAAAGAGCAGGCCACAUACUACACAAUAGAGUCUAUGGGUUCUAUGCUGGGAUGGGGUUGCUUUAUUUUAGGACCUGGAAUCGUGCUGUGUUGUGCCAGACAAUCUUGAGCUCCCAUGCUCAAAAGACCUCCUGCUGCAGCCUCCCAAAUAUCCAAGAUGGUAAGCGCCUGUCUCAUGAAUACUGUCGUUUAACCACGCUUGACCAUCAUUCCACAUCAACAAGUGAAUGGUGCUGCUGUGGAUUUUAGUGGCUGCGGAGUAUUGCAUCACACUGAAGCCCCCGCAUCCCCUGAGACUUUGCCACCAUGCAGUUAGACUGAGCUUCUCUGAGCUCCCAACCCCUGGAUGGCCCAGGCCCCCACUCUCUCAUCCCCACCGUACCCUCUGCUUCUUGGUUCUUGGCUGGAAUUUGGUCUUCAUGUGCAGGCUCUCUCUCACCUCAGGGCCUUUGCACAGCCCCUCCACUGCCUUCACCCCACUCCCUGCUCACACACCCUCUCCAGGAAGGCUUCUGUGACUUAGUCCUCCGCAGGUGGGCUCCUCUGAUCUUUCUGGGGACACUUAGGCUUACCAUUAGGGUAAACCAGGAAAUUACCAGUAGUUGACCACUCUGAAAUUACACAGUAGGCCAUUUCUGAUGGUUAACCUAAUAUAGACCCAUCACACCACCCCUUCAGAGUUGAGUGAUGACAUUUGAGACAGGGACCUGUCAGCAAUGCUCACUGUGGCACUAUCCCAGCCCUGUACCCAAACUCAGACUGCCUCAUCUGUCGAUAUCAAUGAAUAAAGAAGCUUCAAGUCAGAUUGAACUUGAUGUGGUAAGUGCCUUAGCACAGUCUAUGCCAGUGUGGGGGAGGGUCACCUGCUUUCCACUUGGCACUAGUCAAGGAGAACAGAGACAUGAACAGAGCGGGGGUGGAGGCUGGGUGCACAUCACUGGCCACAGUGGCUGGCUCCAGCUGCUGUAAUUUCCAACCUAGUUUCUCUAGGACUGUGCCCAGUCUCACUUUGAAGUGGCCAAUAGCAGCUGGGCUCCUCUAGAUGGAGAGACCCACAUGGUGAGAUGUCUGGGUGCUGCCUCUCACCAGUCUCUUUCUCUGGCCUGGUGGUCCAGGCUUAUAGCUGGUGCACUGUGUACCCAUGGCCACAUGGUGGCAGUGUUGGCACCGACUGGGCUCUGGGAGGCACAGGAAGCCUCAGCCAGCUCCUGCAAGAUGCCUUCAGAGGCCGCUGGGUAGUGUGCAUGCUGCGUGCACAAAGGGUACGUGUGCUGGGUGGUAUUCGAGGGUGCCCCCGUGUCUGUAAUUAUAGAUGGAGAAGUCUGGAGGGGUCUGUGUACAUAGGCACACAUGCACGCUCAGCUGUCUGAAUGUGGUGUUUGUGCCUCCGUGGGUGUUCUCAACAGUGUGUCUUUGUGUCUUUUUGCAUCUGUGUAACUAUAUGAGAUAAGGAUGCUCACAGGGGGGAGAGUGUUUGGUGUGCAAAAACAUCAUGGUGCUGAUGUGCACAUGUGGGGUAAGUGUGUUUCUGGGAGAGAGGAGCUGCCAGCUUGAGGUUGUGUAUAUCUGGCUGUUGGUCUACACCAGUACCAGGGACUCCUGGAGCUCUGCCUCCCCCUGCCUGGGACCCUGUCCUCCAUAGACAGCUGUUCUGAUUCUGACUCUCAGGGCCUCAAACUGGGGCCUCACUGGCUGCAAAUGACCUAAGAUGCUCUGUCCCCACCCUCCCUGCCCACAUCUCUCCCUGCCCCCUCCCCCCGCUUCCAGCCACUGACACCCGCAAUAGCAGAGCUUCACCCCCCACAGCUUCACGACGCAUAGUACACAUAGUGGGGUGACAACCUCCAGUUGGCAUGCAACAGGCCUACUCCAGUUCUCCAACCUGCAGAAGAGAUUCCAUACCCUGUCACUAGGGUCCGGGGUGGUCCCACAGAGCUAUCUCAGUGGGUGGCCAUGUGCCUUAUCCUUACCUGGUGGUGCCUGAGACAGAGCUCUGCCUCCUACCUCAAGGUGGGACUGGCUCUCAGAAUCUGUGGCCCAAACCUUGGGAGGAUGUGGGGACGCCACCAGCUCCUUCUCCUGGUCCCAUCUCUUUCCCUGUGCAGUCAGAUCACAGCUCCCUCCCAGCCUGCUCCCUCCCCCUGCCAGGCUAAGGCCAACAGUGGCUCCUCUGGCCACGUCUGGCCACCCUUCCCCCCGUGGUUAUUAAUAAUUGGGUAUUAGGCAAGAGGCACUAUUGAUUGUGGCGCGGGCAGCUCCAGGUCGAGGUAAUUUAUGGAAACACCGGUGUCCCUGGUGAUAAAUAAUGAGGUGAUCGUGAGGAUGGGUCACUAGUGAGUGGCCUCCACCCUCUACCCUGUCCACUGACACACUAGCUCAUAAAUGGAGGAGGGAGCGAGCAACCCAGCAAGUGGACAGACAAAGGACGCUUUGGUGAUGUGAGCCUCCAGAAGACAAGGGGAAGCAGAGACAUGGCUCCGUGGGUCCAGGUGGCAAAGGGCAGAAUGGCAGGCAGGGCAUGGGAGGGAAACCGUGGGGACAAGGAGACAUG
This is a non-coding RNA of Peromyscus maniculatus bairdii (prairie deer mouse), 5828 nucleotides long. The record is from RefSeq and is a predicted model, not a curated record. Lineage: Eukaryota; Metazoa; Chordata; Mammalia; Rodentia; Cricetidae.